This 440-nucleotide ribosomal RNA is filed under the name uncultured bacterium. RNAcentral describes it as "partial 16S ribosomal RNA". It matches the Rfam family "Bacterial small subunit ribosomal RNA", at positions 338 to 795 of the family's 1533-position model. The record is from RNAcentral.
CCUCCUUUCGGCAGCAGUGGGGAAUAUUGCACAAUGGGGGAAACCCUGAUGCAGCGACGCCGCGUGAGUGAAGACGUCUUUCGGUAUGUAAAGCUCUAUUAGCAGGGAAGUAAAUGACGGUACGUGAUUAAGAAGCCCCGGCUAACUACAUGCCAGCAGCCGCGGUAAUACGGAGGGGGCAAGCGUUAUCCGGAUUUACUGGGUGUAAAGGGAACGUAGACGGCAGCACAAGUCAGGAGUGAAAUGCCGGGGCUGAACCCCGGAACUGCGUUGGAAACUGUGCAGCUAGAGUGCAGGAGAGGUAGGCGGAAUUCCUAGUGUAGCGGUGAAAUGCGUAGAUAUUAGGAGGAAUACCGGUGGCGAAGGCAGCUUACUGGACUGCCACUGACGUUGAGGCUCGAAAGCGUGGGGAGCAAACAGGAUUAGAUACCCGUGUAGUC